UACAAUUGAUUAAAAAAAAACAAAACAUGAAAAAAACAAAACAAAACACUAUCAAACAACAACAAGAAUAAAUAAACGACUAAAGCAAAUAAAAUAAACAAAUGCUAAAUACAAUUUUCGGUGACUGACAGGACUGCACUCCGGGCGGUCACACCGCCAGACUACCGCGUUGCAAGAAUUGUUUGGUCAACAUCAGCGCCUGCCAGUGUCCCUGCUACUGCGACAUCGACUACAACAUUUGCGACGACAGCUUUCAGCAUCUGGACAGAGCCACCUUCCCCAUCUCGCCCUGUUACGAGGAACCUGUUGUACGUACCCUCACGGACCGGUGGAGCGAGCACGCGGUUACCAGGGGUUCCACUGUGCGGUCUUCAGUGUCCUGCCUUCGAGACCCAAGGAGGCGUGUAGGGGAGCUGCCGACAGGUGUCGCUGGAACGACGAUGACGUGUUUCCGGUCUGCGAGUCGCUGCAGACGACAGCGAUGGCGUCCUCGCCAACACGUCCGACUGCACAACCAUCUACAUCUUCAACCUCAACGACACUGACGACCUCGGGAGCUUCUACCACCACCGUGACCGCAGCGACAGACAACACGAUAAGCUGUAUAGAGUGCCUUUCUGCGCAUGCGCCGCAGAGCAGAAAAACGAAGACUGACUUGUCAGCGGGUGUCAUCGCCGGUAUUGUCAUUGGAAUCGUCUUCCUCGUGGGGUGUCUCGCAACUGCUGGCUUCAAGUUCUCUCGCCGACCACCCCUCUUCAGAAACUGCGGAAGAAAGGGCUUUGAGACAGCGAGGAAUUUUGACAACGCCGUCUACAGCCCCUCCCACGACAAGGUGCAGCUAGCCAUAAACCCGGUCUCCCCCUCGGACAUGACCCAGCCGACAACUACUACCACCACCACAUCCCCAGCCAGCCAAAUGACGUCACCAUCCGACCACGCCGUGUAUUAUUUAUAAACGUAAAUAAUUUAUAAAUGUGAUGCUCUCUUCCACUGGUAGACUGAUGAACAAAGGCGUCACAUCAAAGGAGACGAGCCACUCGUGUAUUUGAACAGUUUUGGGGACAAAGGUCAGUGUUUCCAAUGCGAUCUUCCGUUCUUACCGCAAGAGACUUACCCAGACUUCCAGAAGAAUCUUGAAUUAAAAUUGCAUAAAGCUAGUUUUGAAUCCAAUUCCAUUCACACAC
RNA transcript from Pomacea canaliculata, 1184 nucleotides. RefSeq lists it as uncharacterized. The transcript is spliced from 5 exons. NCBI's taxonomy places the organism in Eukaryota, Metazoa, Mollusca, Gastropoda, Architaenioglossa, Ampullariidae. The record is from RefSeq and is a predicted model, not a curated record.